GAAAUGCGAUAAGUAGUGUGAAUUGCAGAAUUCAGUGAAUCAUCGAAUCUUUGAACGCACAUUGCGCCCUAUGGUAUUCCGUAGGGCAUGCCUGUUCGAGCGUCAUUUACACCUUCAAGCCUUGCUUGGUGUUGGGUGACUGUGGCCCCUUUCGGGCCACUCGCCUUAAAGUCAUUGGCGGCCGGUUCGUUGGCUUUGUAGCGCAGCACAAUUGCGUCCUCGAAGCCGCUGGACCAGCUCCCAGAAGCUAAUUUUAAAUGUUUGACCUCGAAUCAGGUAGGGAUACCCGCUGAACUUAAGC
RNAcentral lists this unclassified non-coding RNA (301 nucleotides) under plant metagenome. Its description in RNAcentral is "partial contains 5.8S ribosomal RNA, internal transcribed spacer 2, and large subunit ribosomal RNA". The stretch from base 1 to 105 matches the Rfam family "5.8S ribosomal RNA", at positions 50 to 154 of the family's 154-position model. The record is from RNAcentral.